CAGCCGCCACGGGAAUACGGAGGGUGCAAGCGUUAAUCGGAAUUACUGGGCGUAAAGCGCACGCAGGCGGUCUGUCAAGUCAGAUGUGAAAUCCCCGGGCUUAACCUGGGAACUGCAUUUGAAACUGGCAGGCUAGAGUCUUGUAGAGGGGGGUAGAAUUCCAGGUGUAGCGGUGAAAUGCGUAGAGAUCUGGAGGAAUACCGGUGGCGAAGGCGGCCCCCUGGACAAAGACUGACGCUCAGGUGCGAAAGCGUGGGGAGCAAACAGGAUUAGAUACCCCUGUAGUCCCUGUCUCUUAUAA
RNAcentral lists this ribosomal RNA (301 nucleotides) under uncultured bacterium. Its description in RNAcentral is "partial 16S ribosomal RNA". It matches the Rfam family "Bacterial small subunit ribosomal RNA", at positions 509 to 809 of the family's 1533-position model. The record is from RNAcentral.